Molecule: ribosomal RNA, 37 nt
Filed under: Hyospathe elegans
Lineage: Eukaryota; Viridiplantae; Streptophyta; Magnoliopsida; Arecales; Arecaceae
Description: partial 5.8 ribosomal RNA
Source: RNAcentral
CCACCCGGUCGAGGGCAUGCCUGCCUGGGCGUCAUGC